Molecule: long non-coding RNA, 4014 nt
Filed under: Sus scrofa (pig)
Lineage: Eukaryota; Metazoa; Chordata; Mammalia; Artiodactyla; Suidae
Description: lncRNA (ENSSSCG00000052803.1)
Rfam family: tRNA (bases 711-783)
Source: RNAcentral
AAAAAAAAAAAAAAAAAAAAAAUUGGUUACCAGUGUCAUCUGGAGAAAGACUAUAAAAUUGUCCAAGCCAAACCAGAAAAUACUUGCUGGUUGGCUGCUCUUUGGGGUGGUUUGUACUGUGCACAUCUCCAUUCAUUUUUUAAUGUUGUCAUCACACCAUUGUCAGGAUUUGAGGAAUGUCUCAUGUAGUUUUGUUCCCAUUUGCUUCAAAGGAAACUGGGGCUCAGGGAGUUUGGGUGACUCAGGCAGAUCCGCAUAGCUACCAAGUAGCAGAAAUAAACUUACACCUGGGUUCCAGGUCUCCUGUAUACGCUGCAGCUGUCUUCUCUUGAGAACCUACCACUCGUAUGGCCCAGAGGGUCUGCUUUCUGCUUUGUGGUAUGGUUCCUCUGUGUGUGGUUCCUAGGAAAUAAAGACGCAGGUUUCAAACAUUUUUGCUCCCAGUCCUAUCAAAAGAAUUUUGGAAAACUGUAUCCCCUUAAUAUUUCUUUUUUUUUUGGCCGCCCCACAGUGUAUGGAAUCCCCAGGCCAGGGAUCAGAUCUGAGCCGCAUUUGCAUCCUAUACCGCAGCUGUGGCAACGCUAAAUCCUUAACCCACUCUGCUGGGCUGGGGAUCAACCUGUGUCCUGGCACUGCAGAACACUGCUCAUCUCGUUUCACCACAGCAGGUACUCCCCCUUGCACAUUUAAAAAUUCACACAUAAUGGAGUUCCCUGGUGGCCUAGUGGUUAAGGAUCCAGUGUUGUCACUGCUGUGGCUCAGGUUCAAUCCCUGGCCUGGGAAUUUCCACAUGCUGUGGGCUUGGCCAAAAAAAAAAUUUUUUUUUUUCACAUAUAACAUUUUUUAAUCAUAAUUUUAAGUAAGGUGCAUUUCCAGACUUACUGGAUGUCAGAGAUAUUUUUGUUAAAGCCUUGGGACAGCAAGCACUGCCCACAAGUUAUGGAAACUGUCUGCCGUAAUUCCUAAUGGCAAAGCUGGACCUCGUUGUUAGACCCGUCAGCCACAUCACACUUGAUGUUAGAAAACGUCCAGCUCUGUUGUUUGGUUCAAAUGAGCGUGGUAAACAGGCAUCCCUCUGUCGGCUUCCUUGUUUCCUAACUCUAAUCCUGAAAGAAACAGAUGGGAGCAUAAGAGGCAAGCUUGGCAAAAUAAGGCCAGCUCCCUUCUCGGUGUCCCUCCUCGGGGCUUCCCUCCCAGGAGUCAGCAUUCCUGAGUUGUCCCUUUGACUGGUGGCUUUUACCAGGGCAAAGUCGGGAGGGUGGCCCUUUCCUUGGGGAGGUGUUAGGAGGACCACCAGGAGGAGAACUGGUGGCUCAGAAGGUUCCCAGUGGCAGGAAAGACUUCGCGUGGAAGGGGAGGUUUUGGAACUCGAUUCCCUGAAAGCCGAUCAGGCCAGGACAUCCCUGAGUUUCCCAAAUGGAUCUUGGUGGGAAGACCUGGAGAUGCUGCCCAGAGUUUUGCGCUGAGAACAUUACAUUGCUCGCCCUCAAGCCUGCGGAUCUUUGGGAAUAUUUGGUGGAGCUGGGACAGAGCCUCUUCUUCCUGUGGGUUUCCUGGUGACAACCCUGGACCUUGUCCUGUAUUUCUUCCUGUCCCUCACUCUCGGUGAGAUAGCAGGGGCAGAGAGGAAAACUGAGGCCCGGAUCCAGCCCAUGUCCCCCACCAAGAAAACUGGCUGGCUUUCCGCUGGGGAGGUAUCCCAAGGCAAAAAAGCCUUGGGGACUUAUGAGAGUUGGUCUUCAGAGGCCAUCUCCUGUCUCAAUGCAACUCGCUCAUCCUCAGCAUCUCUGUCUGUGAAAUGGGUUGAUGUGGCAGGCAUCUAGCGCCAGGGUUCACAGGCUUUGAGGUUGGGCAGACCUGGGUUUGAAUCCUGGCGCUGCUGCUCAAGAGCUACAUGACCUUGAGCGAGGGCCUUUCUUCUCUAUACCUGUCUCCACGUCGGUGAGUGGGAACUCACAGGUGCUUGAGGGGAUACAGGAGACAAUGGCUGUGUAGUGUCGGACCCACGCAGCAUGAGCAGGAAAUACUCUUGCUCUUGUUACACUUGUUUCUUUUUUUUUUUUUUCUUCCUUUCUUUUUUUUUUUUUGGUCUUUUUGCCAUUUCUUGGGCCGCUCCCGCGGCAUACGGAGGUUUCCAGGCUAGGGGUCCAAUCGGAGCUGUAGCCACCAGCCUACACCAGAGCCACAGCAACAUGGGAUCUGAGCCGCAUCUGCAACCUACACCACAGCUCACGGCAAUGCCGGAUCCUCAACCCACUGAGCAAGGGCAGGGAUCGAACUUGCAACCUCAUGGUUCCUAGUCGGAUUCGUUAACCACUGAGCCACGAUGGGAACUCCUGUUACACUUGUUUCUUAUUUCCCAGAGAAAUGAUGGAAAAGACCAAGUGAAGUGAGGGCCUAGCUGAGACCCUCCAAGGGUGGGGCUCUGCUGGCUCAUGGCCUUGCCCCUUCCCAGGAUGACAACACAUGCAAAGAGGCACUUUCAUGGGUGUCAAGUGAUGAAGAGCAGAGCAGGCCGGGAGGCUCUCACCACUGUCCCCCGAGCCCCUGCCACCCUCUGGGCCCAUUAUUGGCCUCUUGCCUUCUUGCUGCCCCCUCCUGCUUCCCACAUUUCCUUGCAGCCUGGUGGCUGGGGUCUGUCUCGUGGGGACCUGUUGGGACCCUUGCCGCCCAGCCUCCUCUCUUGGAAAGUUGCUCUGGCUCAGUUUGUCCAGGGCCUCUCCCAGCAGGUGUUUUAGAAACAGAGUCUAUGCCUUCCCCUUAGGAAUUCUGCCAUCUUCUCUUACAAACUUUCAACUGGAAGUUACUCCCUCCUCCCUCUCCUCUGCCUCCGAGAAGUAACUACUGAAACAAAGCAACCUCCAGUCUACCUUGGGAUGCAGCCGUUUCAAGGAAGCCCUUUGUCGAGCAACGAAUCCUUUUGUCAAGGGAAUAAUGACUUCCUCUGGAUUUCCAUGUGGGGUUUUGGGGGUUGUUGGCUCAGGGUCUUUCUCAAGAGUGGGGCCCAGACUAAUUUGUAGGCUCAGGGGGGUGGUGAGGCCGCCGCCUCCCUCUCUACCAACUGAAAGGGCUCCUGGUUUGGCUGCAAGAUCUUCUGAUUACCUUUAAUCCUGCCAAUGUCUUCCUGUCAGGGCGCUGGCCCGCCAGCAUCCAUCACGCUGGCCCGGAAGGUGGUGAUGGUUUGUGUUUCUUGCUCUGUUUUGUUCCUUUGCUUCGCCGAUUGCAUCUCCAUGGAAACAGCCUCAGCCUUUGUGUUGCCUUUGCUUUGGGCAAAUCGAUGCCGACUGGGGAUUUUUCUUUUCUCUCCAUCUCUUUGGGAUCAAAGGGGAAGGUGGGGACAGCGCAGGAGGACUUGCAGUGGCCUGGAGCUCCUGGGGUGGGGGAGCCACGGUCCGUCCUCCAGCUGCGGACCCACCUGCCUGGCUUGGCCUGCGUGGUGGCCCCUCCUGAGUCACGAGGCCCCAGAGUAGGGUAGAAUGGGGUGAGCCUGCAGUGGAGUGGCCCCCUCCACCCACUGUUCCUGCAAAGGCAGCUGCUCGCCGCUUGGGGCGGGAGGCGGGUUGGGAAAGCUGGCACCUGCUAAUUCUCUGGAGGAACUUUGGGCGAGGUCUUUAAGCUUUCCAGGCCUGGGUUUUCCUGGGUUUUGAACCUCUGUGACCCCUUUGACUUAAGGAAGCCCCACAUCUGGGUAAACUGCAACGUUAUUGUGAUAUGAUUGUUCUGCGGUGAAUAGUAAAUCCUGAGUUUGACUCAUUGCCUGGUUUGAAAUGCAACUUAAGAAUGAGGAGCUUGGAAUUCCCUUGUGGCUCAGUGGAAAGGAAUCCGACUAGUAUCCAUGUGAUGUGGGUUCAAUCCCUGGCCUCGCUCAGUGGGUUAAGGAUCUGGCUUUGCUGUGAGCCGUGGUAUAGGUCACAGAUGCAGCUCGGAUCUGGCAUGGCUGUGGCUGUGGUGUAGGCCAGCAGCUGCAGCUCCAAUCUGACCCCUACCCUGGGAACCUCCAUAUGCUGCGGGUGU